UCUACGGGAGGCAGCAGUCGAGAAUCAUUCACAAUGGGGGAAACCCUGAUGGUGCGACGCCGCGUGGGGGAAUGAAGGUCUUCGGAUUGUAAACCCCUGUCAUGUGGGAGCAAAUUAAAAAGAUAGUACCACAAGAGGAAGAGACGGCUAACUCUGUGCCAGCAGCAGCGGUAAUACAGAGGUCUCAAGCGAUGUUCGGAAUCACUGGGCGUAAAGAGUGCGUAGGCUGUUUCGUAAGUCGUGUGUGAAAGGCGCGGGCUCAACCCGCGGACGGCACAUGAUACUGCGAGAAUAGAGUAAUGGAGGGGGAAGCGGAAUGCUCGGUGUAGCAGUGAAAUGCGUAGAUAUCGAGAGGAAAACUCGUGGCGAAGGCAGGUUCCUGGACAUUAACUGACGCUGAGGCACGAAGGCCAGGGGAGCGAAAGGGAUUAGAUACCCUUGUAGUC
This 446-nucleotide ribosomal RNA is filed under the name uncultured bacterium. Its description in RNAcentral is "partial 16S ribosomal RNA". It matches the Rfam family "Bacterial small subunit ribosomal RNA", at positions 338 to 795 of the family's 1533-position model. The record is from RNAcentral.